Molecule: long non-coding RNA, 6433 nt
Organism: Mercenaria mercenaria
Lineage: Eukaryota; Metazoa; Mollusca; Bivalvia; Venerida; Veneridae
Exons: 2
Source: RefSeq, a predicted model, not a curated record
UAACUUGAAAUUAUUAGAAAAGAGCCGAAAUUUGAAAAAAAUGCAUUCUUUUAACAAGAGUUUUGUCAGAAAAAUAAAUGUACGGAAGCGGAUAAGGGCCAUUUUACAGAUGAAACAACUUUAUAAUUUAUUGAAUCAAGUGCCACAUGGAUCGAAUUUACUUGAUUUCCUGCAUGUUUUCAACAAGGUAUUUGUAUUAAUAAUAUUUUUGUGAGUUUGUACUGACUGAUUUGAUUUAAACUUACUGUUUUUUUCUCAUUUAAGAUGACAACUUGAGCCGGUUGUGUCUCGUCUGAGUGUCUGAUGCCCAUUAACUGUAUCUACUAAUGACUGGUUAGCGCUUGCAAAUGAAUGUAAGUUUACGUCAAAUAGAAUGUACAAUUUAAAACUGUGAAAUUCUUUGAAUUUCCGUAUACUUAAUUACCUUUAAGAAAAAAAGUAAAUAUAAUUUUUCUCUAAGCAGACUGUAUAAGACUGAAUGAAAGUUUUUAAAGGAAGUUUUGGAUAAAACUUUAAUUGUGAUAAAUUGCACCAUAUUACUCAAUAAUAAGAUAUGGAACGACAAUAUGCAUUUUAUUUUACAGUUAGACACGUUGAUCCUGUAUGACAGAUAUGUUGUAGAGGGAAGAUUGCGGUACUGCUUAUAACGAAAUUGUUUGAACAUGUCCAUUGAAAAGAUAGGCGGUGCACAUUAUAUUAAAUCUAGUUAUGCAUGCUGACUCUGUGUGACUGACAUGCUGAAGUCGGAAAAUGAGACGAGUGUGUUGGAGUACAUUGUUUACCAUAUGUCCCUCUGAACGAUUCGCACAAUGCUAUAAAGUUAACUAGGUAAUAACACAAUGUUUCAGAAAUGUAGUUUUUUUUCUGGAGAAAUAACCUAUGGUUGAACUAUAAAAUAUGUUUAUCUGGCACUAAGAAUUUAUAUGAAGCUGUCCUUGUUCUGUCCGAUGUUGGAACACGAGUGAAGUUUUCUAAGGACACACCAUUCAAAUCAAACAAAGAGGCAUUUCUAAGAAAUACAGAAAACAAGCAAAAUUUUCUAUUGCUCCUCGGUGGUUUUCUGUCUGAAAAUGGCAUAAAAGUAAUACAUGCAUCAGGAGAUGCUGAUUGUCUCAUAGUACAAACGGCAAUAACUUCUGCUGUCAAUCAUGACACUUUCGUCAUUGGGGAGGACACAGAUUUGUUGGUGCUACUUUGCUAUCAUGUCGGUAAAGUUUGUAAAAAGGUGUACUUUAGAUCAGAGACAGAAGAAAAACAACUAAAGUAUGGGAUAUACACAAAACACAAGACGUACUUGGAAUGGAAUUGUGUAGUAUAUUGCCAUUCAUACAUGCACUAACAGGAUGCGACACAACAUCCAGAAUAGGGAAAGGAACCGUUAUGAAAGCAUUCAGUUCUAAUGCAUACUUAUGAGAAACCGCAGUAAACUUCAUGAAAGCGCUGACAAAUGAUCAGAUAUCUGAAACGGGUGAACAAGCUUUGAUUUGCCUUUUUGGAGGUUUGCCAGAAGACAACCUAAACAUUUUACGCUUUAAAACGUUUGCAACCAAGGUAAUGAGAAGUACAUCAUGUGUACAAGUCUACACCCUGCCACCUACAACAGCUGCAGCAGUAUACCAUAGCUACCGAGUACACAUACAAACACAGACUUGGAUUGGAAAUUACACACUAAACCCACUAGACUGGGGUUGGGAGAUGAUCAAUAGCAAGUUGCUACCAAUAAAAACAGACCUACCACCAGCACCGGAAUCAUUGCUUCAGAUUAUUCGCUGUAACUGCAAAACGAAUUGUGGUUCCAGGCGAUGCAGUUGCAGGAAACAUGGACUGCAGUUUUCAGCUUGUUGUGAUGACUGUAGAGGUACAAACUGCACUAACUAUCCUACAACAGCUGACAUUGAUAUAGAACACUAUGAAUAGGCUUUCCUGUUUUUGAGAAGUAAAAAUCAAACGAGGGAAUCAGUAUGGAAUAUUUAUUUAAAAUUUAUCAUAUAGUAUGCUGAAAAUAUUUUUUUCUUCAUCUUCUAAAUAACAUAUAUCCACAAUAUUUGAUGUGUUGUGCACUUUGUAUUUAAUUAAAAUUAUUGCUGAUGGAAUGCAGCUAUGAUUAAAUAAAUAUUGUCAUGAUUGUUAAUGGUACGUCAGCAUUAUUUACCCUUUAUAUGAGAAAAUAUAACAUUGUUUCAUAAGUAUUUUAAGUGGGUGGGGUACAAUAUAGACCCCUUGAUCAAAUUAAGUUGUUUAACAGUAAAGGAAUAGCAGUAUCAGCUUAAUUUGAACAAUGCUGCAGAUAUUGUUUCACGUUUGUUAGAAUUGAUGUGCUAAUGUUUUGUAAUGUUAAAUCUGAGAUUAUUUUCAUAAAUGUAUUUGUACUUUAUUUAUGUUUAAACAGUAGGCUUAAAUGAAUUUAAAUCUACAUGUAGUCAAUACUUUCACUUUAGCAAUUCCUUUAAACGUUUAUAGACGUAGUAUAUAUCAUCUUGGCACACUGUGAUAAUGUUCAUAUCCAUUGUACUGUGACUGAUAAGUAUUACAUCUUUUGAAUGAAUGUAAAUCUGUUUUAGACAAGAUAAAACAUUAUUUUACAUGAAAAACUCACUACUUUGUACAAAACUAUCUGCAUAACUGUGUAUACCAGAAAUAAUGAAAUACAUUUCAUUAAACUGUUUUCCAGUCUUUCAAAAUGAUUCUUAUUUUAAAUAAUUAUAGAUGUCUAAAUAAUAAAAAAGAAAUUGAUAUUCUGAGUUUUAUAUCUGUACUGUGCAUUAUAGCAAAGUGGGUGGGGUAAUUUAACCCCUGUUUAAAAAGAAAAACAAUGUAUAUAUUAUAAUAAAUUAAAGUAAUCAAAUUUGGAAAUGUUGUUUAAAGCUAAUCUGAGUGGCCAUUUGCCCUUGAAUAUGAAAAAAUGACGUAAACAGGGCUAACAAUUGUAGAUUUAGUAAAAUUCAGUAUAGCACAGCAUUUUAUGUUUGAAUUUUGGUAUGUGUGUUCGGGGACCAUUUUACAAGAUUUGGGCACUUGCCAUGACAUGCAACUUUUAGUUGGUGAAAAAAGAGAUAUUUCCCAUGUCAAAACUACUUGAACCAUUUCUUUUUGCGUGUACUUCAAGGUUAGGCCCUUUUUAUGGCUAGCCUGAUUAGCCUAAUCUUGAAGUAGGAAACAACCAGUUGCAAACUCUUUUUGGCAAUUUGUUUGGGUUGGCGCAACGUUGUUUUUAAAUUAGUUGUUAUGAAAAAUAAUUUUGCAGAAUAUAAAAGAAAAACUGUCUUUAUAAAGAAAGAGUUCGAGAUAUUUAUUUACCUGAAAGAGGCAAAUGCGUACAAACGAGUACGAUUAAAAUGUCUAUCUAAUUUUGACUUUUUGUCUAUUUAUUACGCGCUUUUCAUAACUGACUGAACUUACAUUGAUACAAGAACGUUGGGCGUAAGGGUGUUGCACAUUUCAUUACCUCUCAUGAACAGACUCAAUCAAACCGAUUCUGGUAUAUUACUCGUAUAUUGCUUGGUUAUGUUCUACCACUUAAUUACUGAUCCUUACUUGGUAAACUGUUGACUCACCAAUAAUGUAUUUUCUUACUCAGUAGAACUACAAAAACCCUUCUAAGUCCAAUAAAAUCUGUAUUAUUAGAAAGGCAUUCAUUUUUUUUGUAUUUGGUUGUAUUGCUAUCGUUCAUUUAAGCGUGGAAUGACACGCAUUUUGCAAAAGAACUACUUUCAUCAAAGCGAUAUCUUUGGUGAAAAUGAGCUCGGAUUUUUAAUUUACAACUAACCUUCAAAUAAAACAAAAAGAUGACACGAAUAACACCCGAAACCCACAUGAAAAAUGUAACAACUCCAUGAUAAAACGCACCAGCAGAAUGAUACUGAAAAGUCAAAAGAUAUCUAUACACAGUAAAUUUAUACUUGUAUUAUAACACAAUGUAAACUGAUGCAAAAUGAUUGAUCUUUCAGACAUAAACAAAAACAAAUGUACUAAAUCUAAAAAUCUUCAUUAUUCAAAACUGUCUCAAUUUUCAUUAACAUAAUACAGAAAGGUUGGCAAAGGUUUUUGCUUCCACGUUAUGUUCUUAUUCAUUUAAAUGAUUUAAGACAAGUGGAAUUAUUUAUGUAUCAAUCACAAAAUAUUCUACAAAUUUUUCCAUUAAUUUUCUUUCAAAAAUCAUUCAUCCCAACUCGGAUAAAGAUUGAUUUUAUAUAUGUGUUUUAUUUUAGUGGUAUAUAAUGUUUGGAAAGAUCCUGUGUAGUGCAAAGUCAACUGCCUGUAAAUAGCACUUAUCCUUCCUAAGUUCACUGGAUCAUUGUCAUGUAUCAUAAAUGAAUAUUAUUAUUAAUAUUUAUUAAUAUUAUUAUAUAAAGUUAUCUAAACCAAGCGGUGAACGUCCUCCCGGAUGUCAUCGUGUAGUGCUGCAUAUCAUCGUUUGGCAUGCCGUAUAGAAUUACAAAACCAUCGUCUUGCAAACUAAAACAUUUGCACGUUAUAUCAAAAUGUACACGAUCGUCUUGCACACUGUACUACUGGACCUCAACGCUUCGCGCUAUGUCGAACGUCUCACCAUGGUCUUUUAAACUAGAUUACUACACGUAAUUACCCUGGAUACUUUAGUGCUCACAUCAUUGUCUUGUAUGCUAUAUAUUAUGUAUCAUCUCCCUCCAUACUACAAAGCACCAUGCAUACUACAGUACUACAUAUUAUCAUACUGCAUACCAAGUUGUAGAACUCAUGCUGCAUAUUAUAAUAUUAUACAUCAUCUUCAUCAUCAUCCUGCGUGUCAUAUAAAUUCACAUAAUCAUUCUGCAUACCAUAGAACAACACAUCAUCAUUCUGCAUACCAUAGUACAAAACAUUAUUAUUUUGCAUACCACAGUACUACACGCCAUCAUGCUGUCUACCAUAGAACUACACAUCGUCAUUCUGCAUACCAUAGUACAAAACAUUAUUAUCCUUCAUACCACAGUACUACACACCAUCAUCCUGCAUACCACAGUACUACACACUAUCAUCCUGCAUUCCACAGAACUACACAUCAUCGUCCUAUAUACUACAAUCCUACACAUCAUCAUACAUUUUAGAACUACACAUCAUCUUCAUGCAUACCAUAGAACUUCACAUCAUUAUCCUGCAUACCAUAGUCCUAGACAUCGUCAUGCACACCAUAUUACUACACAUAAUCAUCCUGCAUACCAUAGAACUACACAUCAUCCUAAUGCAUACCUGAGUUCUACAAAUCACCAUCCUGCGCACCAUAGUAUUAUGCACCCAUAUAUUACUACACAUCGUCAUCCUUUAUACCAUAGUACUACACAUCAUUUCAUUAUUAUAGCCCUAUAUUUCACCACCAUGCAUACAAUGUACUACAAUACUUCAUUUCACCGACAUGCAUACUGUUGUAUGGCACUAUAUCGUCUUGCAGCUGAAAGUUACAUCAUCGUCCUGCACACUAGAAGUUGCUAUUGCUUCUGAAGUUUUGAGUUUGCUCUUUCUUUUGUAUUCUUCUACUGAAACUAUUCUAUAAGGAAUAUCCCUACAUCAAAGAAACAGUCAGGUCCCAGUUGUUCAAAAUUGUACCGGGUGAUUAAACUAGAUAGAGACUUAGAGAAAAAAAUUAAUACGUGAGUUAAGGAUUAUGAACUCUUCAAAAUCUUUACAGGUAUAUCAAACACCAUACUGGUGCCUCCCACCUAGACUAAUAUUUUGAAGUGGUUAGUUUAACAGUCGGUUUAAGUUCCGAACAACUGAGACCAGAGAUAGGAAGUAUAUUUUUAUUUCUAUCUGGCAUUUUGUACCUCCAAGGAAACAAGAUAUUUUAAAAAAGGUGAGAAAAAAGAAACCUGUUACUCAAUUAAAUGAUUCAUGUAAAAAGAAGCAAUGUCAAACAUUGUUGUAUCAACUGUAUACUAGUAUAAACUUGAUGACCUUUAAUCCGCAUUUUGUAUGUAUGGUUUGAAAAAAUGAAAAGAAUAUAAUUCGCUAUAAACAAAUGGUUACAUUGCAGACAUGUUUUAACAUAAAAGCAUUUCGCCAUGUUGUCAUCAAUAUGAGUACAUUAACGCAUGUAAUGUUCAUAAACAUAUACUUAUACCAUAUUUUAUGGACAGAUGUAACUUUGUUUAUCGGGUUUUGAUACAAACGAGUAUCACAAAGGCAUUAAUGCCCAACAGUAAAUCAUACAAGAAAGAGCUGAUAAAAAGGCCGACUCUAAAAUGUAUUUGCUUGAUUUAAUCGUUAAAAGGAUUUCCAUGCACUCAAACCAGAUCUCGGUGUCAUGCCAUUAAAUAACAUGCAAGACAGAUAUAUAUUUAGGUAAAUCUACAUGACAAGCAGAAAAAGUUGAUUACAGUAUUUCACGCAAAAGUUUCUUUGAAAGCAAAAAGCUUUUUGACACUUAGUUCCUCGGUAUCAUAAUCAUGUCAUCUGAAUACGGCAAUAACUACAAAAA